AAUACGUAGGGGGCAAGCGUUGUCCGGAUUUAUUGGGCGUAAAGAGCGUGUAGGCGGCCAGGUAGGUCGGCUGUGAAAACUCGAGGCUCAACCUCGAGAUGUCGGCCGAAACCAUCUGGCUAGAGUCCGGAAGAGGAGAGUGGAAUUCCCGGUGUAGCGGUGAAAUGCGCAGAUAUCGGGAAGAACACCCGUGGCGAAGGCGGCUCUCUGGGACGGUACUGACGCUGAGACGCGAAAGCGUGGGGAGCGAACAGGA
RNAcentral lists this ribosomal RNA (256 nucleotides) under uncultured prokaryote. RNAcentral's name for it is "partial 16S ribosomal RNA". It matches the Rfam family "Bacterial small subunit ribosomal RNA", at positions 522 to 777 of the family's 1533-position model. The record is from RNAcentral.